UACGUAGGUCCCGAGCGUUGUCCGGAUUUAUUGGGUGUAAAGCGAGCGCAGGUGGUUUAUUAAGUCUGGUGUAAAAGGCAGUGGCUCAACCAUUGUAUGCAUUGGAAACUGGUAGACUUGAGUGCAGGAGAGGAGAGUGGAAUUCCAUGUGUAGCGGUGAAGUGCGUAGAUAUAUGGAGGAACACCGGUGGCGAAAGCGGCUCUCUGGCCUGUAACUGACACUGAGGCUCGAAAGCGUGGGGAGCAAACAGG
Molecule: ribosomal RNA, 252 nt
Filed under: uncultured bacterium
Lineage: Bacteria
Description: partial 16S ribosomal RNA
Rfam family: Bacterial small subunit ribosomal RNA
Source: RNAcentral